RNA transcript from Mandrillus leucophaeus (drill), 1287 nucleotides. It is a transcript of the gene named protein farnesyltransferase/geranylgeranyltransferase type-1 subunit alpha pseudogene, with no coding region annotated. NCBI's taxonomy places the organism in Eukaryota, Metazoa, Chordata, Mammalia, Primates, Cercopithecidae. The record is from RefSeq and is a predicted model, not a curated record. The transcript has a single exon.
AUGGUGGCCACCGAGGGGGUCGGGAGGCUGCGCAAGGCGGCGAGCCUGGGCAGCUGGAGCAGCCUCCGCCCUAGCAGCAUCCACCCUGCCCCAGCAGCAGCACGAGGAAGAGAUGGCAGCCGAGGCUGGGGAAGCCGUGACUUCCCCCAUGGACGACGGGUUUCUGAGCCUAGACUCGCCCUCCUACCUCCUGUGCAGGGACAGAGCAGAAUGGGCUGAUAUAGAUCCAGUGCUGCAGAAUGAUGGCCCCAAUCCCGUGGUCCAGAUCAUUUAUAGUGACAAAUUUAGAGAUGUUUAUGAUUACUUCCGAGCUGUCCUGCAGCAUGAUGAAAGAAGCAAACGAACUUUUAAGCUAACCUGGGAUGCUACUGAGUUAAAUGCAGCCAAUUAUACAGUGUGGCAUUUCUGGAGAGUCCUCUUAAAGUCACUUCAGAAGGAUCUACAUGAGGAAAUGAACUACAUCACUGCAAUAAUUGAGGGGCAGCCCCAAAACUAUCAAGCUGGGCAUCAUAGGCGACUAUUAGUGGAAUGGCUAAGAGAUCCAUCUCAGGAGCCUGAAUUUUUGCUAAUAUUCUUAAUCAGGAUGCAAAGAAUUAUCAUGCCUGGCGGCAUCGACAAUGGGUUAUUCAGGAAUUUAAACUUUGGGAUAAUGAGCUGCAGUAUGUGGAUCAACUUCUCAAAGAGGAUGUGAGAAAUAGCUCUGUCUGGAACCAAAGAUACUUCGUUAUUUCUAACACUACUGGCUACAAUGAUCAUGCUGUAUUGGAGAGAGAAGUCCAAUACACUCUGGAAAUGAUUCAACUAGUGCCACAUAAUGAAAGUGCAUGGAACUAUUUGAAAGGGAUUUUACAGGAUCAUGGUCUUUCCAAAUAUCCUAAUCUGUUAAAUCAAUUACUUGAUUUCAACCAAGUCAUAGUUCCCCCUACCUAAUUGCCUUUCUUGUGGAUAUCUAUGAAGACAUGCUAGAAAACCAGUGUGACAAUAAGGAAGACAUUCUUAAUAAAGCAUUAGGGUUAUGUGAAAUCCUAGCUAAAGAAAAGGACAUGAUAAGAAAGGCAUAUUGGAGAUAUAUUGGAAGAUCCUUUCAAAGCAAACACAGCAAAGAAAAUGACUCACCAACAAAUGUACAGCAAUAACACCACCCAGAAGAACUUGAUGGAAUGCUUUUAUUUUUUAUUAAGGGACUCUGCAGGAGUUUAAAAUGAGAAGGAUCUUUCCCUUUGCCUGUGGUGUAAAAGUGCAUCACACAGGCAUUGCUUUUUAAUAAGAACUGAUGCUCCUUGGGUG